Molecule: long non-coding RNA, 2601 nt
Organism: Parus major (Great Tit)
Lineage: Eukaryota; Metazoa; Chordata; Aves; Passeriformes; Paridae
Exons: 2
Source: RefSeq, a predicted model, not a curated record
UGGAGACUACUCCCACUUCUUCCUCUCCUACACUCAUUUGUGACCCUCAUUAAAUUUUCUCUUCACCAGGGAACUAAGUUUAAUUUCUAUAUUGCCAUUCCCAGUCUAUAUAUUGCCUUUGCUGUCUGUGCAUCUUUGGUUAUUGAAAAUCUGGGUAAAUUGUUCGUUUAUUUUUGGGAUCAUACCUAACUGAUCUAUAAUCUACAGGUUACCUAAUCAUCAGGACUAGCAGGAAAAUUGAUUUUCCUUGUUUUCUUCUGCUAUAGGUUUCCAAAUGGCUUUUUUUUUGGUUCAGAUUUUCACCCCUUGCAGGAUCCAGCUCCGGUUGCUUUCUAUGCAGAACUAGGAAACCAGAGAGAGUUCUGUUCACCAGGAAAAAAAUGGCACAUCAUAACCAGAUCUAUUCAAUCUUUAUUGUUAAUUUUGCACUAGAAGAGGAGAGCAACAAGCUCAUUGUGCACUGUGCUCAAUGAAAUCGGACUAUCAGAUCUCUGCCUGGGUGUUUUCAAAGCCUUGCUAUGGAGUAUGGGCAGGAUAAUCCAAGGACACUGAGAGUACAUAAUAACUUUGGGGGUAAAAAAAGAAGUAAGGGUGUGAUUUUGAUCAUGGUCCUUGACAAUAUGCUGCUGAAAGACAACUUUAAAUCAGCACUGAUAAAAAUUGUCUGUCAUGUGAGUGAUGUGCAGUAAGACAAUCCGUGGUGAGUCAUAGAGGUCAAGAAUUAACAUCUAGCCUGUUGUUUCUUUUUUUAGAGAAAAUAGCUGACAUUUUGUCUUCUGAUUGCCAGGGAGAGAGACAAGAGUGUCAGAGUUUGUCCAAAUGACUCAAUUUCUUAUUUAGGAACAUAAUAUUUGUCACUCUUUUUAGCUGUUUUUUUUUUUCACUUUAGCUAAAAUAAAGUGUAUUAAGAUACUUCUGUCUCUGAGUUUAUGAAGUCAGUGGAUCCUUUGAAAUGAGUGGGAGCCUAAGGUUUUAGUAUCAGUGCUAUAUCAUACUGCCUUUUAAAAAAAGCGCUGACACUUAACCUUCUUAUAAGAAAUUAUUAUGUGCUGUUGCAAAGAUGCAAAACUCACAGCUGUGAUGUGUACCUUCAAAGAUAAACAGCUGCUAUUAUCUUUCCCUAAUCAGGGUUGUUUUGUAGACCGAGACAAAAAAGAAGUAGGCUCUUGUAAAUGCUGUCUGCAUAUUCCCUCACAAUACAUCCCUUCAAAACCACUGAACUGUCACCAGCUGCCAAUUUUCAUCAAGAAAAGCCUCUCAUUAAGUUCUCUGAGAGCAUUUCUGAGCUGUGCUCACAGGGCUGGCUCUGAGUUCCUCAGUCUCUGGCUGGAUCAGCGCCUGCUCUGCAGUGUCUGUCUGUCAUGCAUCCGCAUUGCUUCAAGGCUUGUGCUGCUCACCUGGAUGAAUGGACGGACGGACGGACAGAGGGAGCAGAGUGCUUUGAUGAGUAGCUUGUUUUUGCAGAUGAAAAUGGAGAAGGUGGUUUGAUUUCCUAUGACCCACUCUCCUGGUAGCUUCUGAUCUCUCCUUGCAAUUGAGAAAUUGUUGAGAUUUUUGGAGGUGCCCAGGGUGAUAAAUGUAGGACAGCGAUACUGUGAACCAUUGUAAGCUGGAACUCUUUUGUGUGCUUGCCUGGAAUGGCAAAGAGCUGGUCUUAUGUUCUUAAUGCCUCCCUUUGGACACGUUGAAAAUACACUAUGCUUACACUUGCUAUUUUAAUAACCUUUUUUUCACUCAUCAUCUGUAGGAUAGGAGGAAGACUCUGAGUCAAGUUUUGCUGCUAUAGCCCUGUCUUUUACUGCCACAUGGGAAUAUGAAGGAUGGAUCACUGAAAACAAUAACUUUUUUUCUUGACACAAAAAAUUGCUAGUUUUCAAGUUAUAGGUUGCUUGCCAAUGACAUGGAAAUUCUGAAAAAGUUGCAUGCAAAUAAUUUACUUGCAUAAAACUCUAAUUUACACCAACUGUGUUAUUAACUAUAUAACAGUCUGCUUGUGAAUGCUCCAGGCUAAGGGGAUCCCCAAUUGUAUUUGAGGGUGGCUGGUGCCAGUAAGGGAGGAUGGAGAGUUUCAUGCAUGACAAGCCAGAUCUGCAGUGUGUAACUUGGUUUUGGAAGGUAAGGGAAGGGUAUGGAAGAGCAACUCUGGGAGAAAAUAGAACAAGCUUGCAGAAGUUUUACAGUGAAAACUGUUAUUCAAAUUUGUUCUUAUGUGUUUAUUAAUUUUUAGUAUAAUUUAUGACUAUAAUACCUUUACUAUUAUAGGUCGAAAACCUCAUAAACCAGUCCUUGGCUUCAUCUGUGAAGAAGAGCUGAGGUCACUCUUCUUUGCUUCAUGUUGAAAGAGAACAAAUGUGAGAGAAUGGAAAGGACUGUGAGCUUUUCUUGUCUUGCAAAGAGAAAAAAUUUGGCAAGAGCCAAGAAAUACUAACAAAAAUCUCUUCUCCUCUUACUGCAACUUUCAUUCUUCCACUCAAUUCACCAAUUUUUAAAUAAUUUUAAAAAUAUAAUACAUUCUGUAAAAACAGCCAUGUAAAAAAUAUUUACAGACCAUUUUCAUCAUCAAGUCUGACCUCCUGAAAUAAAACAAGCCAUGAAAUUUCA